RNAcentral lists this ribosomal RNA (1272 nucleotides) under Triticum aestivum (bread wheat). Its description in RNAcentral is "partial small subunit ribosomal RNA". The record is from RNAcentral. Lineage: Eukaryota; Viridiplantae; Streptophyta; Magnoliopsida; Poales; Poaceae.
AUGGCGCUCGUGGCAGCACCGGGACAGGCCAACCCGCCGCACGACCCGCCGCUGAUGUAUGCGAGAUGGCACGAUUUCCACAACAACAGCGACCUGCAGAGGUCCUUGGAAAAUACUCGUCAGAAAUGGUUAAAAUUAACAGCCAAGCAGUGCAUUGUCAUUUCACUUAAUUACGCCCAAUUUCUUCAGCCAUCAGCCUACUUGAACGACCGUGCCUUCGACAAUCACCACCUUUAUUUCAUUGUGUUGACGGAACAGCAGUUCCUUGAGUUCGAGAUGUUCAAUAGGGUGAGAAAUCGUAUGUGGUUCGAAUAUCAAAGUUACUCGAAUCCAGCACAAGAAUCGGAAGGGGAUGAUCUGAUGGAACCUAAGAAGAAGAAUGUCGAUCCCAACUCCAGGAUUAAGGUCAAAAAUCAUGUGGUCACAGGGAAACAGCGGAGGCGCAACAGAUAUUUCAUCUGUCCGGAGUCAUUUCAGAGCAUCACCGGCACACCAUUGCCUAUGCCCAGAAUCAUGAUAUUGCAGUAUUUCAUGCUUCCAAAUAUGAACUCUGACCAAAGAAGAAUAACACUGGAGGCAGGGAAUGACCCACCUGUUCCUCGAGGGAUGACAAUGGCAAUGCCAUUGAUCAGGAAAUACCAACAAGCUCCCGAGCCAGCCAAUGUGCCGCAGCAUGGGGUUCCUCUUCAACAGCCACAUGAUUAUUUGGAGGAGAUGGGAAAAUGUGAUACAACUGAUGCAAAGAAUGCAGAGGAGAUGGCCUCCUUCUCCAGCAACAUCAUGCUCUUAAAGGAUUUACUCCUCAGCGUUCAUGAGAAUGUAACGAAGACACAGGAGAUGAUUGUGAACAACGUCUCAUCUUCUAAGGAAGGAGAUGGCUCCAAGAGGCUGAAUGAGAUGACAUGGACCAGGGAAGGCCCAGCACCUUCAGUGGUUCCAAGCCAUGUGCCACCUCCAAUUGUUCCAAGCUAUGUGCCACCGCAUAACCGUGAAAAGAACAGAGCUUCUGAUUCGGAGGCUUCAGCAAUCCAAACCUUGGACAAAGGUGAAACAUCUGAUGCAAAGAAUGAGGAGAUGACCUCCCUCUCCAGCGACGUCUUGGUUUUAAAGGACAUGAUCCUAAGCCUCCGUGAGAAUGUUAUGAAGAUGAACGAGAUGAUUGUGAACAAUGCCUCAUCUUCCAAGGACAACCAUGAGCCUGUGAUGUCCAUGAUCAGGGAACAUGUGGGUGCUCUGUCCAGGGCCUUCUUAUCUUUGAAGCUUGGAAGAUGA